UAGAAGAUGACGAGUGGCGGACGGGUGAGUAAUGCUUGGGAACUUGCCUUUGCGAGGGGGAUAACAGUUGGAAACGACUGCUAAUACCGCAUAAUGUCUACGGACCAAACGGGGCUUAGGCUCCGGCGCAAAGAGAGGCCCAAGUGAGAUUAGCUAGUUGGUAAGGUAACGGCUUACCAAGGCGACGAUCUCUAGCUGUUCUGAGAGGAAGAUCAGCCACACUGGGACUGAGACACGGCCCAGACUCCUACGGGAGGCAGCAGUGGGGAAUAUUGCACAAUGGGGGAAACCCUGAUGCAGCCAUGCCGCGUGUGUGAAGAAGGCCUUCGGGUUGUAAAGCACUUUCAGUUGUGAGGAAAAGUUAGUAGUUAAUACCUGCUAGCCGUGACGUUAACAACAGAAGAAGCACCGGCUAACUCCGUGCCAGCAGCCGCGGUAAUACGGAGGGUGCGAGCGUUAAUCGGAAUUACUGGGCGUAAAGCGCACGCAGGCGGUUUGUUAAGCUAGAUGUGAAAGCCCCGGGCUCAACCUGGGAUGGUCAUUUAGAACUGGCAGACUAGAGUCUUGGAGAGGGGAGUGGAAUUCCAGGUGUAGCGGUGAA
RNAcentral lists this ribosomal RNA (601 nucleotides) under Alteromonas abrolhosensis. RNAcentral's name for it is "bacterial SSU rRNA". It matches the Rfam family "Bacterial small subunit ribosomal RNA", at positions 81 to 685 of the family's 1533-position model. The record is from RNAcentral. Lineage: Bacteria; Pseudomonadati; Pseudomonadota; Gammaproteobacteria; Alteromonadales; Alteromonadaceae.